GAUGAACGCUGGCGGCGUGCUUAACACAUGCCAGUCGAACGGAAAGGCCAGUGCUUGCACUGGUACUCGAGUGGCGAACGGGUGAGUAACACGUGGGUGAUCUGCCCUGCACUUCGGGAUAAGCCUGGGAAACUGGGUCUAAUACCGGAUAGGACAAUGGUUUGGAUGCCGUUGUGGAAAGUUUUUUCGGUGUGGGAUGAGCUCGCGGCCUAUCAGCUUGUUGGUGGGGUAAUGGCCUACCAAGGCGUCGACGGGUAGCCGGCCUGAGAGGGUGUACGGCCACAUUGGGACUGAGAUACGGCCCAGACUCCUACGGGAGGCAGCAGUGGGGAAUAUUGCACAAUGGGCGCAAGCCUGAUGCAGCGACGCCGCGUGGGGGAUGACGGCCUUCGGGUUGUAAACUCCUUUCGCUAGGGACGAAGCGUAUUUGUGACGGUACCUGGAGAAGAAGCACCGGCUAACUACGUG
RNAcentral lists this ribosomal RNA (468 nucleotides) under uncultured bacterium. RNAcentral's name for it is "partial 16S ribosomal RNA". It matches the Rfam family "Bacterial small subunit ribosomal RNA", at positions 28 to 507 of the family's 1533-position model. The record is from RNAcentral.